AGUGAACGCUGGCGGUAGGCCUAACACAUGCAAGUCGAACGGCAGCACAGUAAGAGCUUGCUCUUACGGGUGGCGAGUGGCGGACGGGUGAGGAAUACAUCGGAAUCUACUUUUUCGUGGGGGAUAACGUAGGGAAACUUACGCUAAUACCGCAUACGACCUACGGGUGAAAGCAGGGGAUCUUCGGACCUUGCGCGAUUGAAUGAGCCGAUGUCGGAUUAGCUAGUUGGCGGGGUAAAGGCCCACCAAGGCGACGAUCCGUAGCUGGUCUGAGAGGAUGAUCGGCCACACUGGAACUGGGACACGGUCCAGACUCCUACGGGAGGCAGCAGUGGGGAAUAUUGGACAAUGGGCGCAAGCCUGAUCCAGCCAUCCCGCGUGGGUGAAGAGGGCCUUCGGGUUGUAAAGCCCUUUUGUUGGGAAAGAAAAGCAGCAGGUUAAUACCCCGCUGUUCUGACGGUACCCAAAGAAUAAGCACCGGCUAACUUCGUG
Molecule: ribosomal RNA, 492 nt
Filed under: uncultured bacterium
Lineage: Bacteria
Description: partial 16S ribosomal RNA
Rfam family: Bacterial small subunit ribosomal RNA
Source: RNAcentral